Gastrolobium bilobum is the source of this 2130-nucleotide long non-coding RNA. RefSeq lists it as uncharacterized. The transcript has 4 exons. The record is from RefSeq and is a predicted model, not a curated record. Lineage: Eukaryota; Viridiplantae; Streptophyta; Magnoliopsida; Fabales; Fabaceae.
AUCGGACCUUCUCUGCCACCAACUGCUAGGGUUUGCAGAGUUUCAAGUUGCCUCUGUCGUUGGUAAUCUGAAGUCUGAAUUUCCAAUCGACAAGGAAAUGAAAGCCAAAAAUUGUUAACGGUUGAAACUUUUCUGCAUCUCUCAGCCUCCUUCAGGAAACCUUUUUCCUCAAUAUUUUCUUGUUUUUAACUUGGGUUCGUCGACCGCCAACCUCAACUAGUUUGGGAUAAAGGAGAUGUUGAAGUUGAUUCGUUUGUUUCAUGUGAAUAUAGAUAGUUACAUUAGUGCAAAAGAAUUUUAUCAGUGUUCAUAAUCCUCGGUUGAUAUGAUCAUUGGAGACUUAAGCAUUCGCCUAGUAGGCAUCUCACAUUUCCAUUUGACUUUGCAGCAGCAUGUAGAUGAUAAAGAAUUAGUUAGCUUGGCUUUAUUUCAUGUUAUGUCUCAUAGUCUUAGUGUGCUGAUUGCGGGCCUUGUUAAUUUCUAUAGUUACUGAUUGUGGUCCUUGUUCAAUGAUAAUCAUUUUGGACCAAAUGAUCCUAUUAUUCAUGUUUCCUUAAUUCCAUGAACUCUACAAAGUUGAUGAAAAUAUUUCCUCUUUUCGAGAGAGAAAGGGUAGUCAGAGCAUGUUUAAUUGUGGUCAAGUUGGCCUCUUGGUUUAGUACCGUGAGCAAGAAAGGGUCGUUGGUUUCCAAAUGAAAGUUUAAAAGAUGUCCUUUGUAUUUCCGAUUAAUACAUCAUCAGUCAACAAGUAGCCCUUCUGGGGAGACUAAUGAGGACUAUUUCCUCGUAUUCCCCAUUCAACGCUCAGAAGAGCAAGAUGUAGUGGUUAAUUGUUCCGUCAGUGGCUAUCCCAAUUUUCUCGGCAUAGAAUGUAAAGGUAUUAAGGGGAAAGCUUCUUGUGCAUUAUCUAAGUUCAUCAAGCAUUUGAAGCAGAGAACGGUAGUUAUUCAGCUUACUUCAGCCUGUAUUGGUGGUCACCUCCUACACCAAGAAAAGAACUUAAGUUCUUUUGAUGUUAAGCUUGCUUCCAGCUAGGAAGGGCAGUUUUUUAUAGUGUUCCUGAUCAUCUAGUGCCAGUUCUCGUCUUGAUAACUUCCAGAUUAAUGUCACUAGUAGCUGCAUUCAAGGAUACUUUAAAUACAUGGUGUAAAAUGGUCAUGCCCCUCAACUUUCCAUUUCCCCUAUGUUAGGUGAGUCAAAAAUUAUUUGGUACUUUCUACUUCAUUAAGAUCUAUAAUCCACCCUGGCAACAGCUUUCCGUUAAUAUUUACGGUUAUUUGUCAGCGUAUGCAUGAAGGAGAUAAACUAUCACAUUGAAGUUCAGUAUAAUAUAAUUCCCAAAGCUACUUUUUAUUCUUUCCAGCCAACCAUUUCUGAGUUAUUGAAACAAAAAACAGAGCUCUUAAUUGGGGUCUCUCUAUUUUAUUCGGGCAUGGGGCUACCAUUUAAACUUUGUUUGAACCACCCAUGCUAAAUCUCAAACAUUAUUUUAUUGAUUGAGCACCCGAAUUUUUCUGAAUUUGACUUUCAUCCAGCAAUGUCAUUUUUGUGAUGUUAACUUUUUUAGUAGUAUCAUGUAAUAAUGUUAAACCAACACGUCAAAUUCAAGGGAAAGUAAUUAAUAAUAUUGAACAUCAUAAUUUUCUGCCUGAAUUUCCCUGGACCCCUUCAACUUGUAAUGAUUUUAAACAUAUUGAAGGACAGACGGGUGAGGUUUUCUAGAAGCAAUGUUUUUUUGAGGUUUGAUAAUUUAAUUUAUUAAUUAAAAGAUCUCUUGUAAGUGAACCGAACCAAAAAGAAUAACCUAGUAUAGUAUUUCUAUAACCUUCUCCCAGCCAGCUACCCAUUUAGAACAUACCAUUACGGAAUAGAAGGGUUCACAUCUGUUAUCCAGAUAUCCUUGGAGCAAAGGACGUUUGCUCUGAAUUUGUGGGAUAGGUUAUAAGAUAUGUUAAUGAUUAAUCAGGCUAAGCAAGAUAAAAUUUCGAGGACACAAACUAUACACAAAACAAAAACGCUGACUAAAUUUUGAUAGUUGGUACAACCAUGGUGCUUAUGUUGAAAUUGUGGGUAUAAAACACUUGUCACUAAUCAGAUUACUUUGAGUUAAGAUGAUUAUAAAUUGAUGAA